RNAcentral lists this ribosomal RNA (252 nucleotides) under uncultured bacterium. RNAcentral describes it as "partial 16S ribosomal RNA". It matches the Rfam family "Bacterial small subunit ribosomal RNA", at positions 524 to 776 of the family's 1533-position model. The record is from RNAcentral.
UACGGGGGGGUAAGCGUUGUUCGGAAUUCCUGGGCGUAAAGGGCUCGUUGGCGGCCAACUCAGUAAUACGUGAAAUCCCUCAGCUUAACUGGGGAACUGCGUGUGAUACUGGAUGGCUUGGAUUUGGGAGAGGGAUGCGGAAUUCCAGGUGUAGCGGUGAAAUGCGUAGAUAUCUGGAGGAACACCGGUGGCGAAGGCGGCAUCCUGGACCAAUAUUGACGCUGAGGAGCGAAAGCCAGGGGAGCAAACGGG